Molecule: ribosomal RNA, 449 nt
Filed under: uncultured bacterium
Lineage: Bacteria
Description: bacterial SSU rRNA
Rfam family: Bacterial small subunit ribosomal RNA
Source: RNAcentral
GUGGGGAAUUGUUCGCAAUGGGCGAAAGCCUGACGACGCAACGCCGCGUGGAGGAUGAAGGUCUUCGGAUUGUAAACUCCUGUUGCUCGGGACGAAUAGCUUCAACCUAAUACGUUGAAGUCUGACGGUACCGGGUGAGGAAGCCCCGGCUAACUCUGUGCCAGCAGCCGCGGUAAUACAGAGGGGGCAAGCGUUGUUCGGAAUUACUGGGCGUAAAGGGCGCGUAGGCGGCCCGCUAAGUCGAACGUGAAAUCCCCGGGCUCAACCCGGGAACUGCGUCCGAUACUGGUGGGCUUGAAUCCGGGAGAGGGAUGUGGAAUUCCAGGUGUAGCGGUGAAAUGCGUAGAUAUCUGGAGGAACACCGGUGGCGAAGGCGGCAUCCUGGACCGGUAUUGACGCUGAGGCGCGAAAGCCAGGGGAGCAAACGGGAUUAGAUACCCCAGUAGUCC